This 691-nucleotide long non-coding RNA is filed under the name Mytilus galloprovincialis (Mediterranean mussel). The record is from RNAcentral. Lineage: Eukaryota; Metazoa; Mollusca; Bivalvia; Mytilida; Mytilidae.
AACAUUUUAGUAAUUAGGGGCUAAAAAGGGCCCAAAUAAGCAUUUUCUUGGUUUUCGCACUAUAACUUUAGUUUAAGUAAAUAGAAAUCUAUGAAAUUUUGACACAAGGUUUAUAACCACAAAAGGAAGGUUGGGAUUGAUUUUGGGAGUAUUGGUUCCAACAGUUUAGGAAUUAGGGGCCAAAAAAAGGCCCAAAUUAGCAUAAUUCUUUGUUUUUCGCACAAUAACUUUAGUAUAAAUAAAUAGAAAAAUAGAAAUCAAUGAAAUUUAAACACAAGGUUUAUGACCACAAAAGGAAGGUUGGGAUUGAUUUUGGGAGUUGAGGUCAGAACAGUUUAGGAAUUAGUGGCCAAAAAGGGGCUCAAAUAAGCAUUUUUCUUUGUUUUCGCACCAUAACUUUAGUAUAAGUAAAUAGAAAUCUAUGAAAUUUAAACACAAGGUUUAUGACCAUAAAGGAAGGUUGGGAUUGAUUUUGGGAGUUUUGAUCCCAACAGUUUAGGAAUAAGGGACCCAAAGGGUCCAAAAUUAAACUUUGUUUGAUUUCAUCAAAAAUUGAAUAAUUGGGGUUCUUUAAUAUGCCGAAUUUAAAAAUGUACUUACUUUUUUGAUUUUUGGCCCAGUUUUCAAGUUGGUCCAAAUUGGGGUCCAAAAUUAAACUUUGUUUGAUUUCAUCAAAAAUUGAAUAAAUGGG